GCUUCCUGUCCGUCAGUUUUGUUUUCGUUGCUUGUUGCUGAGCAUCAAACUUUUUUCUGUUUUGAAUCAGGAGGUACAGCUUGAGUUGAGUUUCAGGAGUUAGACUGGUUAUUUAACAAGAGAUCUCAAGAACUCAACUGAGAGUAGUAAAUAGAAGAUUUUUCGGAUUGAAAGGAGUUCUUGAAUCGAAGAAAGUAUACUCUAUACUCUCCUG
Long non-coding RNA from Macrobrachium nipponense, 214 nucleotides. RefSeq lists it as uncharacterized. The record is from RefSeq and is a predicted model, not a curated record. The transcript is spliced from 3 exons. Lineage: Eukaryota; Metazoa; Arthropoda; Malacostraca; Decapoda; Palaemonidae.